RNAcentral lists this ribosomal RNA (449 nucleotides) under uncultured organism. RNAcentral describes it as "partial 16S ribosomal RNA". It matches the Rfam family "Bacterial small subunit ribosomal RNA", at positions 334 to 799 of the family's 1533-position model. The record is from RNAcentral.
CACUCCUGCGGGAGGCAGCAGUGGGGAAUAUUGGACAAUGGGCGCAAGCCUGAUCCAGCCAUGCCGCGUGAGUGAUGAAGGCCCUAGGGUUGUAAAGCUCUUUCACCGGUGAAGAUAAUGACGGUAACCGGAGAAGAAGCCCCGGCUAACUUCGUGCCAGCAGCCGCGGUAAUACGAAGGGGGCUAGCGUUGUUCGGAUUUACUGGGCGUAAAGCGCACGUAGGCGGACUAUUAAGUCAGGGGUGAAAUCCCGGGGCUCAACCCCGUAACUGCCUUUGAUACUGGUAGUCUUGAGUUCGGGAGAGGUGAGUGGAAUUCCGAGUGUAGAGGUGAAAUUCGUAGAUAUUCGGAGGAACACCAGUGGCGAAGGCGGCUCACUGGCUCGAUACUGACGCUGAGGUGCGAAAGCGUGGGGAGCAAACAGGAUUAGAUACCCCUGUAGUCCCAUG